CUUGUACACACCGCCCGUCACACCAUGGGAGUUUGUUGCACCAGAAGUAGCUAGCCUAACUGCAAAGAGGGCGGUUACCACGGUGUGGCCGAUGACUGGGGUGAAGUCGUAACAAGGUAGCCGUAGGGGAACCUGCGGCUGGAUCACCUCCUUA
This 154-nucleotide ribosomal RNA is filed under the name Acinetobacter baumannii. Its description in RNAcentral is "partial 16S ribosomal RNA". It matches the Rfam family "Bacterial small subunit ribosomal RNA", at positions 1380 to 1533 of the family's 1533-position model. The record is from RNAcentral. Lineage: Bacteria; Pseudomonadati; Pseudomonadota; Gammaproteobacteria; Moraxellales; Moraxellaceae.